GAUCUUCGGAUCUAGUGGCGCACGGGUGCGUAACGCGUGGGAAUCUGCCCUUGGGUACGGAAUAACUCAGAGAAAUUUGUGCUAAUACCGUAUAAUGUCUUCGGACCAAAGAUUUAUCGCCCAAGGAUGAGCCCGCGUAGGAUUAGCUAGUUGGUGAGGUAAAAGCUCACCAAGGCGACGAUCCUUAGCUGGUCUGAGAGGAUGAUCAGCCACACUGGGACUGAGACACGGCCCAGACUCCUACGGGAGGCAGCAGUGGGGAAUAUUGGACAAUGGGCGAAAGCCUGAUCCAGCAAUGCCGCGUGAGUGAUGAAGGCCCUAGGGUUGUAAAGCUCUUUUACCCGGGAUGAUAAUGACAGUACCGGGAGAAUAAGCUCCGGCUAACUUCGUGCCAGCAGCCGCGGUAAUACGAGGGGAGCUAGCGUUGUUCGGAAUUACUGGGCGUAAAGCGCGCGUAGGCGGUUUUUUAAGUCAGAGGUGAAAGCCCGGGGCUCAACCCCGGAAUAGCCUUUGAAACUGGAAAACUAGAAUCUUGGAGAGGUCAGUGGAAUUCCGAGUGUAGAGGUGAAAUUCGUAGAUAUUCGGAAGAACACCAGUGGCGAAGGCGACUGACUGGACAAGUAUGACGC
This 629-nucleotide ribosomal RNA is filed under the name uncultured bacterium. RNAcentral's name for it is "bacterial SSU rRNA". It matches the Rfam family "Bacterial small subunit ribosomal RNA", at positions 75 to 746 of the family's 1533-position model. The record is from RNAcentral.